This 1386-nucleotide ribosomal RNA is filed under the name Streptococcus thermophilus. RNAcentral's name for it is "bacterial SSU rRNA". It matches the Rfam family "Bacterial small subunit ribosomal RNA", at positions 56 to 1427 of the family's 1533-position model. Lineage: Bacteria; Bacillati; Bacillota; Bacilli; Lactobacillales; Streptococcaceae. The record is from RNAcentral.
UGCAGUAGAACGCUGAAGAGAGGAGCUUGCUCUUCUUGGAUGAGUUGCGAACGGGUGAGUAACGCGUAGGUAACCUGCCUUGUAGCGGGGGAUAACUAUUGGAAACGAUAGCUAAUACCGCAUAACAAUGGAUGACACAUGUCAUUUAUUUGAAAGGGGCAAUUGCUCCACUACAAGAUGGACCUGCGUUGUAUUAGCUAGUAGGUGAGGUAAUGGCUCACCUAGGCGACGAUACAUAGCCGACCUGAGAGGGUGAUCGGCCACACUGGGACUGAGACACGGCCCAGACUCCUACGGGAGGCAGCAGUAGGGAAUCUUCGGCAAUGGGGGCAACCCUGACCGAGCAACGCCGCGUGAGUGAAGAAGGUUUUCGGAUCGUAAAGCUCUGUUGUAAGUCAAGAACGGGUGUGAGAGUGGAAAGUUCACACUGUGACGGUAGCUUACCAGAAAGGGACGGCUAACUACGUGCCAGCAGCCGCGGUAAUACGUAGGUCCCGAGCGUUGUCCGGAUUUAUUGGGCGUAAAGCGAGCGCAGGCGGUUUGAUAAGUCUGAAGUUAAAGGCUGUGGCUCAACCAUAGUUCGCUUUGGAAACUGUCAAACUUGAGUGCAGAAGGGGAGAGUGGAAUUCCAUGUGUAGCGGUGAAAUGCGUAGAUAUAUGGAGGAACACCGGUGGCGAAAGCGGCUCUCUGGUCUGUAACUGACGCUGAGGCUCGAAAGCGUGGGGAGCGAACAGGAUUAGAUACCCUGGUAGUCCACGCCGUAAACGAUGAGUGCUAGGUGUUGGAUCCUUUCCGGGAUUCAGUGCCGCAGCUAACGCAUUAAGCACUCCGCCUGGGGAGUACGACCGCAAGGUUGAAACUCAAAGGAAUUGACGGGGGCCCGCACAAGCGGUGGAGCAUGUGGUUUAAUUCGAAGCAACGCGAAGAACCUUACCAGGUCUUGACAUCCCGAUGCUAUUUCUAGAGAUAGAAAGUUACUUCGGUACAUCGGUGACAGGUGGUGCAUGGUUGUCGUCAGCUCGUGUCGUGAGAUGUUGGGUUAAGUCCCGCAACGAGCGCAACCCCUAUUGUUAGUUGCCAUCAUUCAGUUGGGCACUCUAGCGAGACUGCCGGUAAUAAACCGGAGGAAGGUGGGGAUGACGUCAAAUCAUCAUGCCCCUUAUGACCUGGGCUACACACGUGCUACAAUGGUUGGUACAACGAGUUGCGAGUCGGUGACGGCGAGCUAAUCUCUUAAAGCCAAUCUCAGUUCGGAUUGUAGGCUGCAACUCGCCUACAUGAAGUCGGAAUCGCUAGUAAUCGCGGAUCAGCACGCCGCGGUGAAUACGUUCCCGGGCCUUGUACACACCGCCCGUCACACCACGAGAGUUUGUAACACCCGAAGU